CCUUGUCGGGUAAGUUCCGACCCGCACGAAAGGCGUAACGAUUUGGGCACUGUCUCAACAACAGACUCGGUGAAAUUGUAAUGCCGGUGAAGAUGCCGGAUACCUGCGACAGGACGGAAAGACCCCAUGGAGCUUUACUGUAGCUUGACAUUGGGUCUUGGUACUACAUGUACAGGAUAGGUGGGAGGCUUUGAAACCAGGACG
Molecule: ribosomal RNA, 204 nt
Filed under: Clostridioides difficile
Lineage: Bacteria; Bacillati; Bacillota; Clostridia; Peptostreptococcales; Peptostreptococcaceae
Description: partial 23S ribosomal RNA
Rfam family: Bacterial large subunit ribosomal RNA
Source: RNAcentral